CUCUGUUGAACAAAAAAGAAGAUAUUUGGAGAAAUGUCUUGUCAAUGGCCAUCGGUUUUGUUCCCAACAUUCUUCAAAAUGACUUUCUUUUUGUUUAACAGAAAAGAGGAAGUCAUACGAGUUUGGAAAGUAAAAUAAUGACAUUUUGGGGUGAAGCAUCACUUUAGAGCCCAAAAUUCAGAUCUUUGCUCCUAUUGUUUCAGUGGAAUAAAAGCAUCCAUAUGCUCCAUCAGCGUGAUGCUGAUCAGUGUGUUUGUGAAAUCCAUCAUUAAGUGCGGUCAGAGCCGUACACCUGCUGUACAGUGACACAACAGCCCUCAGCAACGCUGUCAACACUUCACAACAUCACGGAGACACUUUGUGUGUGUGUGUGUGUGUGUGUGUGUGUGUGUGUUUGUGUGUGUGUGUGUGUGUGAGGAGCUGUAUUCUUCAGCUGUCACACACACACACACACAAACACACACUCACACACACACACACGAUGAAAUCCUUUGGGUGACAUAGAGUGCUAAUUUAUUUGUGUGUUGAAUUCAAAACCAUAAUUAUUCUCUUUUUGUAAUUUAGGAUAUUUUUUUAUUUAUUUUUUUUUUGGUGUGAAGACUCAUUUCAGAUUAGGACAGUUGUUAAAUUGUGAAAAAUUACGAGAGAAACUAAUUAUUUUUUCAUUAUGAUAUGUGUUUUUACAGCACAAACUAAUUUUUCAAAUGAUAAUUUUAGAUCCUAUCUGUCCAAUCGUUACCACUUUGUUUAUUUAAACGGGGAGUCAUCUCAGUUAUCACCAGUACAGUAUGGAGUGCCACAAGGAUCUGUCCUAGGUCCUCUGCUAUUUUCAAUAUGUUGCCCCUUGGUAAUAUCAUUAGAAAAUACGGGAUUAGUUUCCACUGUUAUGCUGAUGAUACUCAACUAUAUAUCUCAACAAGACCAGGUGAAACUUCUAAAUUAUGAUUUUCAAAAUUAAUUCAGUCCAUUUCUUUGUAAUCAUUUGUGAAAUAUCUUAUCUUAAUAAAUGAGUGAUGCGUGUGUUUCUGUCUCUCCAGGAGGAGUUUCAGUUUGGUCUCCGUCUGAUCUUCAGUAAAGUGCAGCAUGAGCUUCAACACCUUCACCUGCUGCUCGACAGAAACAAAAGAGCAGAGGUGAGCCAGAAAUAGCCGCGCGAGAGCGCUUCCUCUUGGCCGAUCAAAGGCGCGGCUGUGCAGCGCAGAUAAGAAUCGCACCGCACUGCCGUCUGCGUCUGCGCUGGCUGCAGCAGAGCCGAUUACCUUCUUAUUGUCUCACUUUUUUUCCUCCAGGGUCUGCGAUGUAGAUUGUUUCUGUGCAAAAGUAAUUAGAUUCAACUUGAUUCUUCACCAGAUACGCAGUGAUGAAGGUGUGAACGUCUCUUUGCAUUCCAAAGCG
Molecule: long non-coding RNA, 1395 nt
Organism: Cyprinus carpio carpio
Lineage: Eukaryota; Metazoa; Chordata; Actinopteri; Cypriniformes; Cyprinidae
Source: Ensembl